This 495-nucleotide ribosomal RNA is filed under the name uncultured bacterium. RNAcentral's name for it is "partial 16S ribosomal RNA". It matches the Rfam family "Bacterial small subunit ribosomal RNA", at positions 28 to 507 of the family's 1533-position model. The record is from RNAcentral.
GACGAACGCUGGCGGCGUGCCUAAUACAUGCAAGUAGAACGCUGAAGGAGGAGCUUGCUCUUCUGGAUGAGUUGCGAACGGGUGAGUAACGCGUAGGUAACCUGCCUGGUAGCGGGGGAUAACUAUUGGAAACGAUAGCUAAUACCGCAUAACAGUAGAUGUUGCAUGACAUUUGCUUAAAGGGUGCAAUUGCACCACUACCAGAUGGACCUGCGUUGUAUUAGCUAGUUGGUGGGGUAACGGCUCACCAAGGCGACGAUACAUAGCCGACCUGAGAGGGUGAUCGGCCACACUGGGACUGAGACACGGCCCAGACUCCUACGGGAGGCAGCAGUAGGGAAUCUUCGGCAAUGGACGGAAGUCUGACCGAGCAACGCCGCGUGAGUGAAGAAGGUUUUCGGAUCGUAAAGCUCUGUUGUAAGAGAAGAACGAGUGUGAGAGUGGAAAGUUCACACUGUGACGGUAUCUUACCAGAGAGGGACGGCUAACUACGUG